AGGAUCAUUACCGAGUGCGGGCUGCCUCCGGGCGCCCAACCUCCCACCCGUGACUACCUAACACUGUUGCUUCGGCGGGGAGCCCUCUCGGGGGCGAGCCGCCGGGGACUACUGAACUUCAUGCCUGAGAGUGAUGCAGUCUGAGUCUGAAUAUAAAAUCAGUCAAAACUUUCAACAAUGGAUCUCUUGGUUCCGGCAUCGAUGAAGAACGCAGCGAACUGCGAUAAGUAAUGUGAAUUGCAGAAUUCAGUGAAUCAUCGAGUCUUUGAACGCACAUUGCGCCCCCUGGCAUUCCGGGGGGCAUGCCUGUCCGAGCGUCAUUGCUGCCCAUCAAGCCCGGCUUGUGUGUUGGGUCGUCGUCCCCCCCGGGGGACGGGCCCGAAAGGCAGCGGCGGCACCGUGUCCGGUCCUCGAGCGUAUGGGGCUUUGUCACCCGCUCGAUUAGGGCCGGCCGGGCGCCAGCCGACGUCUCCAACCAUUUUCUUCAGGUUGACCUCGGAUCAGGUAGGGAUACCCGCUGAACUUAAGCAUAUCAAUAAGCGGAGGAA
Molecule: ribosomal RNA, 548 nt
Filed under: Aspergillus versicolor
Lineage: Eukaryota; Fungi; Ascomycota; Eurotiomycetes; Eurotiales; Aspergillaceae
Description: eukaryotic LSU rRNA
Rfam family: 5.8S ribosomal RNA (bases 167-320)
Source: RNAcentral